RNAcentral lists this transfer-messenger RNA (325 nucleotides) under Myxococcales bacterium. Its description in RNAcentral is "partial transfer-messenger RNA". It matches the Rfam family "transfer-messenger RNA", at positions 1 to 333 of the family's 374-position model. From Rfam's summary of the family: Bacterial tmRNA, also known as 10Sa RNA or SsrA, is named for its dual tRNA and mRNA-like properties. Its role is to liberate the mRNA from a stalled ribosome. Lineage: Bacteria; Pseudomonadati; Myxococcota; Myxococcia; Myxococcales. The record is from RNAcentral.
GGGGGCGAUCUGGCUUCGACGGGUGGUCGAAGGUGGGCGCUGCGUGCCGAGAUGGUCGUGCUCUCGUUAAUCAGACGGCACUGUUGGUAACUUUUAGAUGCCGACGAUAACUACGCACUCGCUGCCUAGCUGAAACUAGGUUAGCGACUCUCGUCCGUGACGCCUUCUAUCGGGUUGCGGGAGUCAUCAGAAGGCUGGUCACGGGCCGUUUCUCGGCCGCAUCCCGUGACGAGACCCAUGUCGAGAUAGGGUGAAGGUUCUCCAGGACCUCGCGACUGCCGAUCCCGAAUUUGAGCGAGGACUACGCACGUAGACGCGCUGAUUG